CCUACGGGUGGCAGCAGUGAGGAAUAUUGGUCAAUGGACGAGAGUCUGAACCAGCCAAGUAGCGUGAAGGAUGACUGCCCUAUGGGUUGUAAACUUCUUUUAUAAAGGAAUAAAACGAGGCACGUGUGCCUUUUUGCAUGUACUUUAUGAAUAAGGAUCGGCUAACUCCGUGCCAGCAGCCGCGGUAAUACGGAGGAUGCGAGCGUUAUCCGGAUUUAUUGGGUUUAAAGGGUGCGCAGGCGGCGUGUCAAGCAAGCGGUAAAAUAGCGGGGCUCAACCCCGUCGAGCCGUUUGAACUGGCGCGCUUGAGUUCAGGCGAGGUAGGCGGAAUUCGUGGUGUAGCGGUGAAAUGCUUAGAUAUCACGAAGAACCCCGAUUGCGAAGGCAGCUUACUAAACUGUGACUGACAUUGAUGCUCGAAAGUGUGGGUAUCAAACAGGAUUAGAUACCCUAGUAGUC
RNAcentral lists this ribosomal RNA (459 nucleotides) under uncultured bacterium. Its description in RNAcentral is "partial 16S ribosomal RNA". It matches the Rfam family "Bacterial small subunit ribosomal RNA", at positions 338 to 795 of the family's 1533-position model. The record is from RNAcentral.